GAACCUCUUAAGCAAAGGAUUUCUAGUUUCUUCAAGUCUCCUACAACACUUAUAUCAGGCAAACUGCAGCGACACAAACUCAGUGUUCGAAGGUUUGACAGGAGACCAAGUGAUGGAGGCAGUGACCGUAUGUAAGUCAAGUUUACAACUCUGACCUCGAUCAUGCUCUUGAAAAGGUUGUCUGGAAUUGUUACUGGUGAGGUUUCGCAAGGAUCAUCACUAAUAAAAAGAAGUUCGAGCUGAGGACAUUCCAGUACUUUAGGAAGCAAAUUAGGCUUGAUAUCAUGUAUGACGAUUGAAGUGCAAUGCUUUAUUGCACUUCCGUCUGACCAUUCCCUGCAACCAUCAACCUGCUCAUUUGUAGCAGUAAACACAUUUCGUUCAGUAGAUGCAAUUGAUAUGGCGACAUCGCGAACUACAUCAUGCAUAGAAAACAACUCUUUCUUCUGGCUUAUAUGGUCAAGCAACAUACAAGAAGCUUUGAGUGUGCGCACCAAUGUAUGUACUCGAUUUCGUGCUACUUCAAUCUUAUUCACACCUUGAAAUAAACCCAAUCCCAAACCUUAUAUUAUAUUAUGUUUCCAUAUUUCUCCUUUAUAGUGAAGACUCGUACUUCUUCUCUAAUAAAUGCUAAAGUAUUGGCUUAAAUUUUUUAACCGGCACAGUAGACCCUUAAGCUAUAUAUACUAUAAUGUCCCUCUUCUCUCACAGAUUAAACCAAUCUGAUCUCAGAGUGAGUUGAUACCAUGACUUUGCAUCAUUCGUGAUCAAAGGAGCAUCAUUACUAACUAAUAUAGGCUCGAUCAAUAGGCAUGAUAAUAAUUUUUUUUUAUCUACAAACACUAUUUUUCAAAAUAUUUUAUCUUAAGACUAACUAAAUAUUUUUUAACUAUGUAGAUAUAGGUUGUUUGAUCUCUUUUAAAUAGUGGAGAUUACAAACAAACGGAUGCGAAUUAGUAGUGAUGUUGAGUUCAGAAGAUUGAAGUUAAGAAAAUUAAGGGUUUCUUGAUCUAGGGAAAUUUCAAAAGAGAGGCAGUGACCGUAUGUAAGUCAAGUUUACAACUCUGACCUCGAUCAUGCUCUUGAAAAGGUUGUCUGGAAUUGUUACUGGUGAGGUUUCGCAAGGAUCAUCACUAAUAAAAAGAAGUUCGAGCUGAGGACAUUCCAGUACUUUAGGAAGCAAAUUAGGCUUGAUAUCAUGUAUGACGAUUGAAGUGCAAUGCUUUAUUGCACUUCCGUCUGACCAUUCCCUGC
This 1254-nucleotide long non-coding RNA is filed under the name Citrus sinensis (sweet orange). Its description in RNAcentral is "long non-coding RNA (CSIN_LNC001296)". The record is from RNAcentral. Lineage: Eukaryota; Viridiplantae; Streptophyta; Magnoliopsida; Sapindales; Rutaceae.